GGCUGGUCUGAGUGCAGUGGUGUUUACAACUAAUUGAUCACAACCAGUUACAGAUUCCUUUGUUCCUUCUCCAUGCCCACUGCUUCACAUGACUAGCCUUAA
Molecule: Y RNA, 102 nt
Filed under: Propithecus coquereli (Coquerel's sifaka)
Lineage: Eukaryota; Metazoa; Chordata; Mammalia; Primates; Indriidae
Description: Y RNA (ENSPCOG00000004256.1)
Rfam family: Y RNA
About the family: Y RNAs are components of the Ro ribonucleoprotein particle (Ro RNP), in association with Ro60 and La proteins. The Y RNAs and Ro60 and La proteins are well conserved, but the function of the Ro RNP is not known.
Source: Rfam by way of RNAcentral